Molecule: long non-coding RNA, 1135 nt
Organism: Triticum aestivum (bread wheat)
Lineage: Eukaryota; Viridiplantae; Streptophyta; Magnoliopsida; Poales; Poaceae
Exons: 8
Source: RefSeq, a predicted model, not a curated record
CCCGUUUUUCUAAAAAAAUAAAAAUCCACCCAAGCCCCGAUCCAGAUCCCCUCCACCGCAACCUCCUUCCACCUCCUCUCUUCUCCCAAUCCGCUGCAGCCGGCCGGCCUCCCCCUCGCCCCUCCAACCCCCUCCGACCGCUGCAGCCGGCCGGCCAGGCCGCCGCGGUGCUGCCCUACCCCUCCCUCCAUUUCCUGCCCGAGGACCGCGUCGGCCUCGUCAAUGCCCUGAAGGACAAGCUGCAGAGCCUGUCGGGGCAGCACGCAGACGUGCUCGAGUCGCUCUCGCCCAAUGUCAGGACGCGUGUUGAGUUUCUGAGGGGCAUUCAGAGUCAACAUGAUGAGAUUGAGGCGAAGUUUUUCGAGGAACGGGCUGCCCUUGAAGCCAAGUACCGGAAGCUGUAUGAACCAUUGUAUGCUAAGACGUAUGACAUUGUACAUUGUAAAUGGAGUUGUGGAGGUUGAUGGUGUUGCUAAAGAACGAACCAGUGAAAAUGCCGCUGAGGGGGAGAUUCAGAUGCUAAAGGAGUCCCAGAUUUUUGGCUCAUUGCUUUGAAAACAAAUGAAGUGAUGACUGAGGAGAUCCAAGAGCGUGAUAAGCCUGUUUUGAAAUAUCUAAAGGAUAUCAAGUGGUCUAGAAUUGAUGACCCUAAGGGGUUCAAGCUUUUGACCGCCCGCGCCGCCGCCGAAUCCGGCAGCAAGCGCACCUGCGCGGCCGAGUUGCACAACCUCUCCGAUAAGCGGCGGAGGAGCAGGAUCAACGAGAAGAUGAAGGCGUUGCAGAGCCUGAUACCCAAUUCCAACAAGGUCGGCACCACAAAACCAACAAGGCAUCCAUGCUUGACGAGGCCAUUGAGUAUCUGAAGCAACUGCAGCUCCAAGUAUAGGAUAAUGAGAUGUUGAAGCCGCAGAGUGAAUCCAUGAGACUGUAGUGCAAUUGCACCGUUCCAUUGAAGAUUAGCUCUAUUUUUCCUUUUCAUUUUUCUUACUAUUGGAGUGAGGACAUGUAGAAUGAGAAACUGUGUGAUAGUAGAUAUGGCAACUGUGUGAUAGUAGAUAUCAGGAAUAAGGACAUUUCCAUCACUAUUGUGUUUUCUCGGAAUUGUAUGCAUAAAAUGGAAUUGGUCGAUUUUUUU